Molecule: long non-coding RNA, 3391 nt
Organism: Oncorhynchus tshawytscha (Chinook salmon)
Lineage: Eukaryota; Metazoa; Chordata; Actinopteri; Salmoniformes; Salmonidae
Source: Ensembl
GCUGAAUACACCCCCAUGUUGCUGGCUGCUAGCAGUCUUUGCUUAAUUUUCGUUUGUUUGAACUUUUUUCUAUUGACAUUUAUUAGCAUAUCCUAUCCUAGGACCUAUGUGAUGUGUAACUUCGCUUGAUUCUGUUGGACGUCAGUGCUCUGCCCAGCUACAAAAUAGCUUGCAAACUCGCUAGUUAGUUUGUAGUUUUAUUUGCUAGCUAGCUAGUUAGCUAACGUUUCCCUGUACUGAAGUUAGAGCCCCUUGCCAAAUUUCAAAAGGGAUGAAAUGCCAGGCUCACUGUGUAUACAGUGUCAGACACAAACCACUGUGUUUAGUAAGACCUGCAACAGUUGUUUCUUUAACCAUCCAAAAGAGAUGAUGUUACAAGCGUUGAAGAAGUAUGAUUACAAAUGGGAACACAAUGAUUGCACCCAUUAUAAUAAUAGCUCUCAGAUAUUGACUUCCACUAAAGUAUUGCUCUACAAAUUACAUACUCUGGGAUUUGUUCCCCUUCUCCUGCUUGGAAAAAGGAGAAAUGGAACAAAACAUAUCGAUAUGGAUUCCUUUUGCCCUCACCCUCAAGUCAUAAAAGAAACAGGCUCUAUUGAAACCUUGAGAAAUAUUUAUUUAGGUCUUCUGAAUGUCACACUCGGCACCGAGUCCCAAUGCCAGUGCUCCCCAGUGUCUUCAGAGCCAGACGGGACCCCCGCACCAGCCAAGGUAGAGGGAGCCCCUACAACAAUCGAUCCCGUGGAAACCCCUGCACCAACAGAGCUACACAGAAUACCCAUAUCCAUCCGACUGAACAUAAUACCCACACCAACAGAGACGUGCAAACACAACACACUAAUCAAUCCAGUGGAAACCCCAGCACCAACCAUGCGAGACGGAAUCCCCAUAUCUUUACGACGGAACCUAAUCCCCACACCAACAGAGCCAGGCAAACCAUCCACACCAACCAAUCCAGUGGGAAUCCCUAAACCAACCAAUCUAGUUGGAACUCCUACAGCAAUUGAUCCAUCAGGAACCCCUGCACCAACUAUGCUAGACAGAAUCCCCACAUCCAUCAGCCUGAACAAAAUCACCACACUAACAGAGCCAGGCAAACACUCCACAUCAACCAAUCCUGUGGGAACCCCUUCACCAAUUAAUUCAGUGGGGACCCCUGCACCAGCCGAGCUUGAUGGACUCCCCACACCAACAGACCCAGGAAAACCCUCCACAUCAACCAAGCUAGACGGAAUCCCCACAUACAUCUGCCUGAAUGGAAUCCCCACAUCCAUCUGCAUGAACGGAACCCCCACCUCAAUACAGUCCAAAAUCCCCAGACCAAUACAACCUAAAAUUCCCCACACCAAUACAGCCAGGCAAACCCUCCACACAAAAUAAUCCAGUGGGAACCUCUAUACCAAUUGAUGAAACAUCUGACUCCUCUGAGCACCAGGACCAAGAAAUGCAAAGAAAAAUGUGGACAGAUGGAGAUCUAAUCGUUGCUGAAGACGGUGCAACCAUUCAAGCACAAAAGAAAAUCAAAACAACAGAAGAGUCGCUGAACAUGGAUACGGAUAGGCCCAUGGUGUCAAGACAUGCAGAGGUAGACACUGAAGUAUUAGAUCAAUUAGAAAAGAGCAGCAUUGUACAAGCAACCAACAAGCAAACUUUGUGGGCUAUAAACUGCUUUAAGGACUGGCUGGCAGAGAAACGGAUGAUAGUGGAUUUUUCAACCAUUGAGAAAUCUGAAAUGAAUGUACUCUUGUGAGAUUUUUACUGUUCUGUUCAAAGGGGUAAAGGUGGGGAGUAUUGCAUCCCAAGCUAUAUCGGAAUCCGGGCUGGCGUGAACAGAUUCAUUAACCUCCCUCCCCUUAGCAGAUCCUGGUGCUUGAUGAAGGACAGUGAAGAAACUAAAGAAACUCAGACGAGAGGGCAGGGACAAAACUACCCAUCCAAAGGUGAUUACAGCACAAGACCUUGAGAUUCUUCAAAACUCUACUGUGCUAAGCCCCUACACACCCAGAGGACUAGUGAACCAAGUGUGGUUUGAUAUCCAGUUACACUUUGGCCCCAGAGGAAAAGAGGGCAAUAGACGGCUAACGCCACAGUCGUUUGUAAUAAGGUACGAUGAAAACGGAGCAAAAUAUGCAACGCUGACUUCCAAAGAAGAAAGACUGAACCACAAAGAUGCAGAACUGGCAGAAUCGCUGUGGAAUCAUGUUUCAGAACCCUGAUAGUCCACUCUGUCCAGUCGCCUCCUUGGAGAAGUAUCUGAGCAAGAUCCCGCCAGAUGCCACCGUCCUCUACCUCCAUCCUAUUAAGAUGGUCAUCACCAGUGACAGCAUGUGCUAUAGCCAGGAGCCAAUGGGGUUUAACUACCUUUCAUCAAUGCUUCCCCCGACUGUGCCAGGUUUGCUUUUUUUCAAGCAAAUUUCGGAACAUUUUAAUAUUCGCUAAAUAGCUAAGUUGUACUCAUAACUCAACCUGUUGUUGCUUCUUGGCUCACUCACUCUCUUUUUCUCUCUCUAGGAGGCUGGUACAUUGGAAAAGUACACAAACAAUUGCUUCCGAACUUUGCGCGAGAUCAUGUCUGUCAGCAGACUGAUAGUUCCUUGAAGAGUGUCGUAGCUGAAUCAGAAUGAGUUAGGUAACAUAGAUAAAUAAGAUGUUUUAAUUAUUUUAUACUUGUCAUUAGAAUGUCUUCUUUUGGACUAUACUGUUGGCAGUUGCAUUUUCCUCUCUUCUCUAGGGAAAAGUCACUUGGGGCCCAGAGAGGGGAGAGGUCAGGCUUGUCUUUUACAUGUCUGGUAAUAGGCAGAAUAUCAGAAAGGGAAAAGUCAGGUUUAAACAUUGUCUUCAUAAUGAAUAUAUCUGUUAAACCAUGUGAAGGGCUCCACCAUGUCUGUACUCCAGUCACUCCCUCCUUUUUCCAUUGGGGGGAGGAGUAUGGUAAUGUCUGGAACCAUUGUAUGUCCCUCUGUUGCCCUUAUCUUGAUUUAGUAUAUGACCUAGAGGCUCACUACCCUCCGGGAGUUUGUCCAGGAGGGGUGUAUUUGAGAUGGGAGUAUCUAGAACUGACAAUUGAUAUAUGCCAUUGGAUGAGGUAAUGUUUUGGUAAUAUGAAGUUUUUUUAUUUAUUUUUAUUUCACCUUUAUUUAACCAGGUAGGCUAGUUGAGAACAAGUUCUCAUUUGCAACUGCGACCUGGCCAAGAUAAAGCAUAGCAGUGUGAACAGACAACACAGAGUUACACAUGGAGUAAACAAUUAACAAGUCAAUAACACAGUAGAAAAAAAAGGGGAGUCUAUAUACAUUGUGUGCAAAAGGCAUGAGGAGGUAGGCAAAUAAUUACAAUUUUGCAGAUUAAUAACACUGGAGUGAUAAAUGAUCAGAUGGUCAUGUACAGGUAG